RNAcentral lists this unclassified non-coding RNA (352 nucleotides) under soil metagenome. RNAcentral describes it as "partial contains 5.8S ribosomal RNA, internal transcribed spacer 2, and large subunit ribosomal RNA". The stretch from base 1 to 120 matches the Rfam family "5.8S ribosomal RNA", at positions 35 to 154 of the family's 154-position model. The record is from RNAcentral.
GAUGAAGAACGUAGCGAAAUGCGAUAAGUAAUGUGAAUUGCAGAAUUCAGUGAAUCAUCGAAUCUUUGAACGCACAUUGCGCCCGCCAGUAUUCUGGCGGGCAUGCCUGUUCGAGCGUCAUUACAACACUCAGGCCCCCGGGCCUGGCGUUGGGGAUCGGCGGAAGCCCCCUGUGGGCACACGCCGUCCCUCAAAUACAGUGGCGGUCCCGCCGCAGCUUCCAUUGCGUAGUAGCUAACACCUCGCAACUGGAGAGCGGCGCGGCCAUGCCGUAAAACACCCAACUUCUGAAUGUUGACCUCGAAUCAGGUAGGAAUACCCGCUGAACUUAAGCAUAUCAAUAAGCGGAGGA